Punica granatum (pomegranate) is the source of this 1320-nucleotide non-coding RNA. Lineage: Eukaryota; Viridiplantae; Streptophyta; Magnoliopsida; Myrtales; Lythraceae. The record is from RefSeq and is a predicted model, not a curated record.
UCUGUCACACCUUGUUCUUCAGAGUUCAAAUCUGUCGUUGCCGUAAGCUGCUUCUUCUCUGAUUGCUUUGCAAUUAGUUGCCCUAAGCUGCUUCUUCUCCGAUUGCUUUGCUUCUCCGAUUGCUCUGCUCUCCGCUCGAGCUGCUUUCCGAGGCUGACAGAGAAUCUUCAGAUUUGGUAAUUUCGAUAAAGAUUCCGGUGUUGGUCCAGUCGAUCGGUUGCGAGACAGAUCCUUGCAGAAUGGAAGAACAAUUCCAAUGUAACGUUAAUGCUCGUUGAUUCUUUUGUUGAAAAAUUCUUGCUGUGUUAGUCUUUUAAUUGAACAACUCAGACAAAGGAAUAAGCAAACACUCACAAUGACACCAAUGCUAAUACAUUGAUGUUGUGGUCUUUAUUUAAAUGAACAAGGAUUGAUUUUGUCUAUGAUAUAUAUAUAUAUGCUAUUGUUUUAAUUACAGGUAAAAUCUUAUGAUUCACGAUUCGAUUCUACGAUUCAUGAUUUCACGACCCUCGAUCGAUUCUAUGUAGAAUUGCGAUUCUGACAACCAUGAUAUAAAUGACACUGAUUGUAGCCAAAAGCAAGACAAAUAAAAACAUUUUAAUGCGCCCAAAAUCAAGAAUAAUCAAGUGAUUUCAUUGAGAAGAUCUUGUUAGUUCCAUUUUGCUUUUUUCCACUGAGAGAGGCUUACGGUCAUCGUUACAUUACAUUUGAAUGUGAAGAAGCCUCGUAGUCGGACCCUGAACCACUCACUCUUAGGACCUCAUCCGAGGAAGAAGAGGGCAUUGUAUGCUUUUUUAUGGUAUCAUUCUCAAGGAAACUUAUGUAAAAAGAGACACUUCCGUUCUGCUUAUGUUGAGAGUUAGUGCUACUGAAGAAGUGGAGGCGCAGGCUUGGCGAAAUCUGUAGAUAGUAGCCUCUUCAAAGACUGACAUUUAAUGUUGUUGAUUGUGAUCACUAUCAUAGUAGUCGUGGUCUCAACAUUCUCUCUUGCUAUCUUUGCUCAAUUAAUGAUUUUCUUCUAGCCCCAUGGUUCAAUGGUUGAAGGUUUUCUGUGGACUGAUUUGGGGCUGGCCUCUUGAACGACGGUGUUGGUGGUGAUGAUGAGCGCCAUGGAAAAGCCAAGAUCAUCAGUAAAAUCAUGAUCAGCCAUUUGCCCCAUUAAUUUAGAAAAUCUUUCAAUUAAGUGUUUUUUUAUCCGAUUUAUGUCAAAGUAUUCAAGUACCAAUAAUUGUAAAACUAUUGCUUCUGAGGAAGUCUCCUCACGCUACCAAAACAUGAAGCGAAUGAGAAAAAAAAAAUUGAGAGAAAACUUUAUGUCAA